Molecule: ribosomal RNA, 917 nt
Filed under: uncultured Owenweeksia sp.
Lineage: Bacteria; Pseudomonadati; Bacteroidota; Flavobacteriia; Flavobacteriales; Owenweeksiaceae
Description: bacterial SSU rRNA
Rfam family: Bacterial small subunit ribosomal RNA
Source: RNAcentral
UGCAAGUCGAACGGUAGACGUCUUUCGGGAUGUUGAGAGUGGCGCACGGGUGCGUAACGCGUAUGCAACCUACCUUUUACUGGUGGAUAGCCCGGAGAAAUUCGGAUUAAUACGCCAUGGUAUAAUUAGAAGGCAUCUUUUGAUUAUUAAAGAUUUAUUGGUAAAAGAUGGGCAUGCGUAGGAUUAGCUAGUUGGUGAGGUAACGGCUCACCAAGGCUACGAUCCUUAGGGGUUCUGAGAGGAUGAUCCCCCACACUGGUACUGAGACACGGACCAGACUCCUACGGGAGGCAGCAGUGAGGAAUAUUGGGCAAUGGGCGCAAGCCUGACCCAGCCAUGCCGCGUGCAGGAAGACGGCCCUAUGGGUUGUAAACUGCUUUUAUACGGGAAUAAACCUCUUUACGAGUAGAGAGUUGAAGGUACCGUAAGAAUAAGCACCGGCUAACUCCGUGCCAGCAGCCGCGGUAAUACGGAGGGUGCGAGCGUUAUCCGGAUUUAUUGGGUUUAAAGGGUCCGUAGGCGGGCGAUUAAGUCAGUGGUGAAAUCCCAUAGCUCAACUAUGGAACUGCCAUUGAUACUGGUUGUCUUGAGUUUGUUUGAAGUGGAUGGAAUGAGUCAUGUAGCGGUGAAAUGCAUAGAUAUGCCUCAGAACACCUAUUGCGAAGGCAGUUCACUAAGACACAACUGACGCUGAUGGACGAAAGCGUGGGGAGCAAACAGGAUUAGAUACCCUGGUAGUCCACGCUGUAAACGAUGAUCACUCGCUGUUGGCGAUACACAGUCAGCGGCCAAGCGAAAGCAUUAAGUGAUCCACCUGGGGAGUACGGUCGCAAGACUGAAACUCAAAGGAAUUGACGGGGGCCCGCACAAGCGGUGGAGCAUGUGGUUUAAUUCGAUGAUACGCGAGGAACCUUACC